CUUACAGAACGGGUAUUUAACUUUUGAUGUAUUAAGUCAUACAUAGGCAUUUAAAUUAUGAUCUAUUUAUAUCGAUCACAGUUUGUUCCAAGUGUUGAUUCAUGUCAGAACCGAGUCGCAGAGAGUCUUAUAUGUGUAUGUUUUUGGUUUUGAUUGGCUUUGAUUGAAGAAAUUUCUUUUUCUGAAGUUAAAAUGGCAGACAGAAAACAUAAAGAAGACGAUACAUAGAUUGGACAGGUUCAGCUUUCCUCUACCCAAUGGCAGAAGGGGAUUUUAAUCCUGGCUGGACCUUAUCUGUUUUAUUUUUUGUUCUUGUUUAUGCUUGUGGCAGAUAUAGAGACCAUAUUAUACCUUUCUUUAGGCAUUUAUGUAAUGCGUGUUUCGAAUUAUGCUACGAUUGGAUAACGUCACUAUGGUCUGCAGCUUGUGAACGUUUGAGUUUUUGUAACACUGAAGAAACAGAUAUUGAUCACGUGUCAACUCAAUCAGUUACGCUUGAGUUGUUAUCUGAUCAAUCGAUAAGAAUAGACAGACCUAACGUUAGAACUAAUGAUGAACCCAUUCCAAUUAUUUCAGUGCCACCCCCAUCUUAUGAAAUCGUCUGUGACUCGGAUAGGGCCGAAUCUGAAAACUUUUUAACCCCGACUCUUUCACUUGAGGUACUUUCUAAUCAGUCUACAGACACCGAGGAACACCACAAUAGCAACGAUGUUGAAAAUCCCGUUCCAAUUAUUUCAGUGCCACCCCCAUCUUAUGAAAUCGUCUGUGACUCGGAUAGGGCCGAAUCUGAAAACUUUUUAACCCCAACUCUUUCACUUGAGAUACUUUCUAAUCAGUCUACAGACACCGAGGAACACCACAAUAGCAACGAUGUUGAAAAUCUCUCAAUAAAUUCUGAACCACCCCCAUCUUACGAGAUAGCUGUCAUUGACCUUUCUCAACCACCGCCGAGUUACAACGAAGCUGUGAAGUAAAAUUCUACGUAAACAUGAGGAAAACGACAGUCGAAUACCUUAACAUCACAACACCUGUGCCUGAUUCCAAUGACGACUAUUUUGAGAGUGGUUGGUUUGGAUCUGUCUUAAUUCUGGUGCUCUUUGUUCUUUGUUAUAAAUUUGGUCGUGAGAGCAUAAGAAAAAUACGUGAGUGUAGGCUGAGGAAUUGUGAAUGCUCCUGUAAUUUGUCUCUGGAUUCAUGCAAUUGUUUAGAUGUGAUUAGGUCAAAAUGCUCUGCAGCUUGUGAACGUUUAAGAGUUUUUGUCAGAGGUAGAAACCAUGAAAGGACAGACACAGAACACGUUCCGACCCAGGCGGUCACACUAAAUGGGCUACCCUCUCAGGCUACAGAAACGAACGAACACACCAACAACAAUAACCAAAAUGUCCCAGGUAGUCCUGAACCACCCCCAUCCUACGAGACAGUUGUCUUUGACCAGUUCCAACCACCCCCUAGUUACGAAGAAGUUACGAGGUGAAUUGUAGAUUAUUUAGUGUAAUGCGUAUUAGGAAUGCAAAAUCAAUGAUUAUAAUGAUUUGCAGCUAUCCAUAGUUUGAUUUACAGCUAUCCAUAGUAAUACACAAUGGUAUUUAUAAAAAAGAUCCUCACUUUCCACACAGACAUAUUUGUAAUUUCACUAACUUGUAUAAAUUAAAAGACCACUGUCCCCAGGAUCAUGAAACAUCUUGAGCUUAAGUCAAUAUCUUCAUGUGGUACUUAAAUGUUGUGGAAGUCAAGCAGAUCAAAUUUAUAGUAUGUUUCGAUAUUGUUUCACAAAAAGUUUUGUUAUUUGCAAAUGUUAAGAUUAUUUAAAUAAUUAAUAAACAUUUUUCUGGCGAUUGAAAUUUGUCUUGAGUCUAAGAUUGUUUCCUGAUCCUGGGGCCUGGACAUAUAGUUAUUUGUUACUAGUUUCAGUACUUCCACUAUCAGUUGUUGUUUACAUUUUCCAUGUUUUCCCCCCGUAGAGUUUGUUAUAACACAUUUAGUGAGGAUGAAAGGGUUUUUUUCAUAAGAUUGUACAAUGUAGAUUUUAACGUUCUCUAAGUUUUGUGUUUUUUUUUUUGUUUGUUUCAAGCUAAAAUUCAGAGAUAUCAUCUUGACAAAUACAUUUGUAUUGCUUUAAACAACGUAUCAGAAAUCACAGCCAUGUUGUCUCUAUACCGGUAGUUAUAUAAAAUAAAUUUAAACAUAAAAGAUCAUUUAUUCAUUUAAACCUUUUUUAAUAAAAUCCAGGGAUUUUACAACGCUUGAAAAUAUAGUUUUAGAUGCUUUAUCUGUCUGCAUUUUCUCAAGCAGAGAGAUAAAGUUCUGUAUAAUACAGGAAGCGAUCUAGUUUGCCUUGUUCUUAGUAAAUCAUUCUAGCUAAUCAAAUAUUUAGACUUAUCAUGUAUUUAUAUGUAUUUCUGCAUUGUAUGCAUUUAAAGAAUUGUUAAAAACACAGAAAACACCCAACAACAGAAAUAAAAUCAGUUAAAUGUUCAUCGUAUCCGUAAGGACGGGAUGAAAUUCCUCAGUAUUCCUUUAACUGGGCGCCACAACAGAAGAAGCAAAAUUCUCACCAAAUGUAGGACCAAUUCCAGCAUGACUUUCAGGGGAUUUUCCAUUUUCUGUAAUUAACAAGAUUGUGUACGUCAAUGACGCGUUUAGACAUCGCUAUAAAUUGUGUGACCCUGGGGAACAGUUUUCAUCCACAAAAUCUGGAAGCAUCUUUGAAUCGCAUGUGUGUACAUUUUAGAGACUAUUAUUUUACUUCAUAACAUGUUGAUCAGUUUUUGUUAAUUUUGAAGGGAAAAAAUAAAAGGACAUAAAACAUUUGCAUACAUUUGUCGUACUGAC
This is an RNA transcript of Saccostrea cuccullata (small rock oyster), 2832 nucleotides long. RefSeq lists it as uncharacterized. The transcript has 3 exons. The record is from RefSeq and is a predicted model, not a curated record. Lineage: Eukaryota; Metazoa; Mollusca; Bivalvia; Ostreida; Ostreidae.